Molecule: non-coding RNA, 68 nt
Organism: Rattus norvegicus (Norway rat)
Lineage: Eukaryota; Metazoa; Chordata; Mammalia; Rodentia; Muridae
Source: Rfam
GGAAUUUAGCUCAGUGGUAGAGCGCUUGCCUAGCAAGCACAAGGCCCUGGGUUCGGUCCCCAGCUCCA